UACGGGGGGAGCAAGCGUUGUUCGGAUUUACUGGGCGUAAAGGGCGCGUAGGCGGUCAGCACAAGUCAGUUGUGAAAUCUCCGGGCUUAACUCGGAAAGGUCAACUGAUACUGUGCGACUAGAGUGCAGAAGGGGCAACUGGAAUUCUCGGUGUAGCGGUGAAAUGCGUAGAUAUCGAGAGGAACACCUGCGGCGAAGGCGGCGACCUGGGUGGAUACUGACGCUGAGGUGCGAAAGCGUGGGGAGCAAACAGG
Molecule: ribosomal RNA, 254 nt
Filed under: uncultured bacterium
Lineage: Bacteria
Description: partial 16S ribosomal RNA
Rfam family: Bacterial small subunit ribosomal RNA
Source: RNAcentral